UCUUAGCCUGUGCACAGCAUCCUAGUGGCUGUACCUGCUGGGGCCCUCCUGCUACCCCUCAUCCUGCAGUUGUUCUUCAAUGGAGUGGUCAUGGGCAUAGCCAGGCAACCCUAUGAGGACCAGGUAAGUGGUCUGAGUGCGUGUGUCCUUGACUGUGUGGAGGCAUCUUGUACCUCUGCAAUUAGGCACUUUGUGUGCUUUCUCACUGCCCUUGGCCCUGAUGUUGCUUCAUGAGUCCUUCGAGACCCACCUCUGAAGAUGCAACUCAGAUAUCUCUAUACCCUGGAGCAUUGGUGGCCAUUCUCCCUCUGGGUGCAUUGCAUUGAAAGCCUACUGUGUGCUAGGUGGCAGUUACUUUGAGGGAUGGGUGUAGAGAUGAGUAAGUAUGUCAUGCACUUGUGUUGAUCAGCAACCUGCAAUCAGAAUAACAGCGGGAGACUCCCAGGAACACUGAGAAGAGGGGUCAGUCCUGAGUGGUGUAACAGACUGGAAGAGACUGGGGUUUUGGUGAAGCCCAUGCUGUAGAGUAGAACAUGCCACUCUCUGUGUCCUGUGUGCUUUUGGAGAGGAGACAGGAGGGCAUUGACUGGUGGAGGUACAAUUUUGCAGAAAGGCCCAGAAACCUGAAAGUAGGGUAUUAACAGAAUGAUGAAGAAGCAGAUCUAGUUCAAGCACAAGGUGGUAUGACAUUUACUCCAAGUCGGUCAAGAUUAGAAAGACCCAGAAUGUCAAGUGUGGAAUGUAGUUUUCAAGUAGUGGAAACCUGGGAGCCAUGGUAAAAUUUUGUAAAAAUGUCAAUAAUUGAGGGUAAUUACAAAUAGUAGAAUUCACCCUUUUUAGUCUCUAGUUAGGGAUUUUGACAAAUGACAUCCUGUACUCUCCACCAAGAUCAAGGUUAACCAGUUUCAUUACCCCAGAAAAUCCUUUCAUCUCUUGUUGUCACAUUCUCUCCCUAAGUCCUUGCUGGUGUUUCUCUUUCCAGAAUCAUGCAUAAAUGGUGUUGUGGGCUUUCUAGUGUGGCUUCAUUCACUGAGCACAAUACAUUUGAGAUUCAUCUAUGUAGUUGCUCAUAUCAGUAGUUUAUUGUCUUUUGUUUCUGUGUAGUAUUGUAUUUCCCUACAGAUUAUUUAUACAUUCACCAAUUGAAGGAUUUUUACUUUGCAUCUAGUUUUGGCAGUGUUUUUGUUGGUCUAUUUUGUUUUGUUUUUGUACCAAAAAUUGAUCCCCGAUGUGCUUAACCACUGAGCAACAUUCCCUGACCCCUCCACCACCACCACCACCACCCGCACCCUUAUGUUUUCUUUUUGAAAAAUUUAAAAAAUUUUGAGAAAGUGUCUUACUAACAACGAAUUCCGGAACAAUUC
RNAcentral lists this long non-coding RNA (1364 nucleotides) under Marmota monax (woodchuck). The record is from RNAcentral. Lineage: Eukaryota; Metazoa; Chordata; Mammalia; Rodentia; Sciuridae.